GGAUGGUCUGUGAGAGCAGCAGCAUGGCCGCCUUCGUCUCAGUGAGUAAUCUUCAUUUUAUUCCAUCUGUUUUGUGUAUUUUGUGUCUUCGAUCAUCGAGAGCUUUUUCUCUGUUUGUUUUUUUCUUUCUUCAUAUUUAGAACAAAGAGUCUGAUAUUUGAUCCUGUCACUUUUUAAUCAGGAGCUUUUCUUAUCUCACUGAUUUUCAGCAAAUAAAAAAGCAAAGUAAGUAAGUUUAAGUUUUAGUAACAUUUCAUUUAUUAAAAGGAAAAUAAAUUCAAGCUCUGGAAGUUUUAUGUUAGUCGACGCUUUUUGGAGAUGAUUUUUGUACGUUGCUGAGAAACUUUUAGAAAGUGAAGAAAAUGUUUCAGGAACAUUUUUUAUUUUUAUAUUUGUUUAAAGUUUUGGGCUUUUUAGAAAAAGAGGAGCUUUUUGAGAUGGGACGAGUUUAAUCUUUGAUCUCAAUUAAACUCACCAACAUGAAAUAGUUUUUACAGAAAGUAAUCCAGGUAAAAACAAAUCACUGAGACUCAGCAGCAGCUUCCUGGUUGUUUUUCUAACCACAUCAGGAUAAUGUGACGAUGCUCCACCUUUAAAUGGGUCUGACAGAUGCUGCUGCGAGGAAGCAGCCUGUAUCUGGUGGCCUCUGUGUGCUGCUGCUGGUAAACGAGGUCUAAUUAAAGCAGAAGUAGGUCUGUGGCGGCGGCGGCGGCUCCUGGGAGCCGUCCUGCAGACGGAGCGCUCGAUUUAGACCCAGCGUCCUCUGAGAUCAGCUGAUCCAGUCCGUCCUUCACAAACAUGUAGAUUAAACUUCCUUCCUUGAAACGCAGCGAGCUGUCCUGCUGCUCAGGGCGUGUGACCAGGGACUAUUUUCAGCAGCGGAAUAAUCCACGUUUGGUACGCGUUGUGUGACCAGUUAUCCAUCUGAAGGAUGUCCUCCUCUCGUUUCAGCUGGUAACAUGUCAGCACUGCCCCGUCACCUCCACCCGCCGCGGCCUCAUCUACAGAGACUCUCUCUCCGCUCUGUCUAGGAACCUCAGGGCCCCCGGGGGCCCCCGUCAGCCCCCGGGCCCCCGGCCGCAGGGCUUCGGCCUCCAAGGCGGACGCCGCUGCAGGCUCAACAGACCUGAGCUCCCAGAAUCCACUGCUCUGGCUCGCUCCAAGCAGUCUGGCAGCAUGAAGCACCUGGUCCUGGCUCACCUGAGGAGGAUGCUGACUCCGAGCCCCGCCCAGCAGCAGAGAGGCCUCCGCCUGCCAGGCUGACCUCUGACCCGCUGCUGGGACGCAGGAGGUGGUCCGGAGUCGCAGUGAGAGCUGCUGGACACCAGAGGGCGACAGAGGUUCAGACUGGGUCUGAGGUGGAGGAGAACUGGUGUGGUUGCCUUUCCCUUUUCCCUCACCUCCACCCAGCACCUGUGGGAGGAGGCCGGACUUACCGAACAUCCUCAUCCUCCGCAGGGAGGAAGAGCGCAGCAGCUGUCCACAAAGUUCUGAGCAGAAGCUCCUCAGCGUGGUGGGUCUGAGCCCCACGGCACUGUGGGUAAUGACUGCAGCUGCUCAAGACACAAUUUUCCUGCUGCAAAUGAACAAAAUGUUAAUUAUUUGUGUUUCAGAGAUUCAGCCGUCGCUGUGAUGGCUCAGAUCUGUGUGUGUCAAACUGUAUUUAUUAAACAGACUUUAGACAUUCAUGUUAAACUUAAGUAAACGAGUUGGAUUCAACAGUGUUUCUGUUUCCUGGAGUUACUUUAGGUUCUGUGAUCAGUGUUAGAUGAUUAUAGUGUGUAGCUGCAGAUCGGAGCAGCUGACUGUCUCGUGUCCUGCAGCAGGAGAAUGAACCCACAGCAGCCAAACAGCUGAUUGUGUUCAGGCUUCAAAGCUUUAUGGUGAGUUUGACACUGAACUGCAGAACCUCUGAAAUAAACCCACUUCCUGUUUCUCUGCGUCAUUGUUGAUUGUUUGCUGGGUAGUGUACAACCGCAGCUCUGAAAAAGUCAGGAUGCUGUCAAUCAAAGCCAGUGUCGUAAAGUCACAUUUGAUUCAAAUUAG
Astatotilapia calliptera (eastern happy) is the source of this 2046-nucleotide long non-coding RNA. The record is from Ensembl. NCBI's taxonomy places the organism in Eukaryota, Metazoa, Chordata, Actinopteri, Cichliformes, Cichlidae.